AGCCUCAGUCUGUGAAAGUGGGCACAGCUGAUCACGGUGUCCAGACAAGCAGUUGUGGCUGAAAGGAUGACAGGUUUUGCUUCCACCACUGUGGGUUAAUUUCAGUGGUGACAAUGAGACCUGUAACACUU
Echinops telfairi (small Madagascar hedgehog) is the source of this 131-nucleotide small nucleolar RNA. NCBI's taxonomy places the organism in Eukaryota, Metazoa, Chordata, Mammalia, Afrosoricida, Tenrecidae. The record is from Ensembl.